Long non-coding RNA from Saccostrea cuccullata (small rock oyster), 705 nucleotides. RefSeq lists it as uncharacterized. Lineage: Eukaryota; Metazoa; Mollusca; Bivalvia; Ostreida; Ostreidae. The transcript has 4 exons. The record is from RefSeq and is a predicted model, not a curated record.
ACAUGCUGACUGGAGUCUAUGGGUAUAGGAAACCAUUUUGUAGUAAUAAAAAAUGUGCAGGUGAAAGUGGUACACUUCCUUUUAUUGCAACUUUCUGGGCCUUUUUGACAAGCACAACCAAUGGUCUACCUAGUAAAAGUUUCUUUGGCACCAAGGCAACCCUAUUCCAAUGUCAAGGUCAAAAAUCAAAGGCCAGAACUGAUGUCAGCUGGAAAGAUACAACAUUGUGCAUUGGACUUGCAAGAUAAUUAAUUAAUGCACCAGUUUCAUGUUCAAAGGUCAAAGGUCAGAACUGAUGUCAGUGACAGUUGGAAAGAUACCAGAUUGAGGAUUGAAUUUGCCAGCUGGAUAAUAAAUGAAUGCACCAGUUUCAGGUUCAAAGGUCAGUGGCUCCAAAAUCAACUCCAUAAAAUGGUGAAUAUUUCAUCAAACUUAACUUAUACCAAUAACUGAAUCCAGAAGAGGACACUCUUGAUGGGUAUAAUGUAACACAGGGCUUCACACAUUUUUGCAGUAAAGGAUGCCUUUACCAGUUGAAGAAGCUCAGGUUAUCUAUUGAUAGUGUUUUGUGUUUUGCCUACAGAGAUAAUGACAUUAUAUAAAAAGAAAUCUUUAUUGUAUUUCAAAGAAUUUCAUUCUCAGCUCACAUGAGCUGUAAGCUCAAGAGAGUUUUUUUCUGAUUAAAAAAUUAAUAUUCACUGUAAA